UACGAAGGGGGCGAGCGUUGUUCGGAUUUACUGGGCGUAAAGGGCGCGUAGGCGGCGGCCCAAGUCGAGUGUGAAAGCCCCGGGCUCAACCUGGGAGGUGCGCUCGAGACUGGUUUGCUGGAGUUCGGGAGAGGAGCGUGGAAUUCCCAGUGUAGAGGUGAAAUUCGUAGAUAUUGGGAAGAACACCGGUGGCGAAGGCGGCGCUCUGGACCGAGACUGACGCUGAGGCGCGAAGGCGUGGGGAGCAAACAGG
This 253-nucleotide ribosomal RNA is filed under the name uncultured bacterium. RNAcentral's name for it is "partial 16S ribosomal RNA". It matches the Rfam family "Bacterial small subunit ribosomal RNA", at positions 524 to 776 of the family's 1533-position model. The record is from RNAcentral.